AAUUUUUUUCUCUUUGUAGCGAUGAAUGGUAAACUUUGCAUCAUGGAUAGUCAUGCAUUUUCCCACGAGUGAAUCUAUGAAAAUUCUGUGAGAAUUUGAGGUUCAAUGGCAUGAUGGUGACUCCACCCACUUCCAACAACUUACUAUGGAAAACUUGAAGUAGGAUUGGUGAGAUGGCCAGCAGGAUGCAGGAGUAGCAGAGAUCUGUUCUGCAGCUGAGGGAGUGUCUGGAUUGAUGUGUGAUUCCCAGAGAAGUCUCCCUUUGCACCACUGAAAAAGAGUCAAGGAAGAAGUCAGUCCCUGGUGGUAUCUUCAUCUGGGUAUCCUGGGUUCAGGCAUUUCAGAAGUCAGGACUCUGAGGCAGACAGAGUGUCUGGCCGGAAGAUAUCUAUCCAAGGGCCCUCUCCAUUUCCACCACUGGAAAAGAGUCAAGGAAGGAGUCAGUGCCUGGUAUGUACCAAAAAUGUACCCUGGAGUACACUUGGCCUCUUCAUCAAGACAUGAACUGAAACAUGGUUAUCAACUUGUACUGAAAGAAACUUGAUUCCACCUUGCUUGUUAGAGAAUUACUUUCAUCCCAGCACUCUUGAGGCAGUCGCUGAGGAGUGUGCAGAUGUGGAGGCAGUAGGGGAGGCAGAGGCUGAGACGGAGGUUGAGGCAGAGGAGGAGGCAGACAGAUCUUUGUGAGUUCAAUGAUUGCCUGUUCGAUGUAGUCAGUUCUAGGAGAUGCUGGGCUAUGGAGUGGGUCCCAGUUUAAGAAACUAAAAGUAACUUAAUAAAUAAAUGAAUUCUUCUCACUAUAUGUAACCUUGGAAAAAGAUAAUGGUGAAUGCCCCAGAGGCCAAAGUGUAACAAACUCUGUUACUAUUAGAGCACAGAGUAGCACAAAGAGUUGAAGGUUCAGGAGAUGCCAGGUUUCUUCUCACCCUUCCUUCCACAGUGAGUGACAGACCUUCACAGACUCCAGCAUGUGCACGCUGAGGUGGUUUUGAGGCUUUUUUAAAGCCCUUAUGGAUGAGCUUAGGUUGAUUGAACAUCCUCUUGUUGUUGAGGACAGUGGGCUUGUCUUCUGUCUUGACUCUGUGACUUAAUUGCAUCAGCUCCCUCACCUUUCUUGGAGUUGAUAUCUCUAGUACUCUUGGUCUUGUCUUCUAUGAUUCCUAGGUUUGCUGGGCCUGCAGAGUGUGGCUUUCUGAACUUUGCCCUCUAUAUGCUGGUUGAUGUUGUCAAUAUCAACUUCUCUAGCCAUAGCACUGUUCUAAGGCUCUGUCGCUCCACCAGGUCCUGACACUAGAUUCUGGCCAGAGAAUCUCCAUCAAGCAGAUUAGGGCUUUGCUCUUCCUUCUUUCUCAACUGGUUUAAGGGUAUGCUGAUGACACCUGAUCUUUACUGGGCCUGAUCGCUUCUGAUAACUAUGGAGUCUUUGCAUUGGGUGGCUGUGGGAACCUGGAAUUGGUUUAUUUCAGAGAGGGAGUUGAGCAGUUUGGAAGAUGAACUUCUGCCACCAGUGUAGUCAUGUCUGCAAGUUUAUGCUGGAGGCCAACACACUGUGCAUGUCCCAGGCUCAUCCUGACCAAGACUGCUGCUUCCCAAUGUCACAAUAUCAGAAGCAAGCUUCUAUCCUUGACUCUCAGCUGUCCUAGGCUCCCAGCAUCAGUGAAGUACAAGGGAUGCUGCAUGUCAGGGUGUGCUAAAGGGAGAGAGAUGGAUCUUGUUUCUCUUUCACGAACUCAUAGGCAUCCAGAGGCAUUGACAGAUUUGUUGCCAUCUCAUGCAGGUUGUUAUUCUCUGUUUGUUCCAGGCAUGGAUCUUGUGGCAAUACCAGGAAUUCUGAAGAUUGUGGAUGGGGGCAGUUAAUGACUUGCCACCAUCAACAGGUGGUGUCCUCAUCUGGUAAUCCAGGGAGUAGGAGUAGCAGAGUUCUUUCUGUUCUGCAGCUGAGGGAAUCUCUGGCUUGACAUGUAAUUCCCAGGGAAGUCUCCCUUUGCACCACUGAAAAAGAGUCAAGGAAGAAAUCAGUCCCUGUUAAUGGGGUGUCCUUUCCUUUCAGCACACCUCUGUACUUAGGCUCCUACAACAGCUAGAUGACAUUCUUAGGAUCUCUGCCAAGGCAGCAGAUAUUCAGAUAUUCAGAUUUUGGGUAGAUAAGAAAAAUGCACCUUGGCUUACACAUGGCUUCUUGAUCACAUGCUGGGAAACCUGGAUAUCCACAUAGAUAGAAAGAAACUUGAUUCCAUUAAGUUUGUGGGAGCAUUCCUUUAGUCUCAACACUCUUGAGGCAGGAUCAGUACCAUGGCAAUUGCAGAGGCAGACACAGAGUCAUAGGCAGAGGCAGAGAUAGUAUCAGGUAGAGGCAGGCUGAAGUCUGUGAGUUCAAGGCUAGCCUGAUCAACAUAGUUAGAUCCUGAACAUGUAGGGUCAUGGAGAGAGAACCUGUCACAAGAAACUAAAAGCAAAUUAAGAAGUCAAUGAGUUAUAUUUCCUGUGUGUCACCCUGUGGAAGAAAAGUCAAAUGCCUCAGAGGCAAUAGUGUGAGUAACCCUCAUAGUAUGAGGGCACAGAGUAUGUGAAAGUAUUGAAUGUUCACAGACAGGCCAGAACGGAACAACAUACCAUCCACUCGGAAAUCCUGGCUAUAGUUGACAGAUGGUCUCUCAGGGAAGUAAAGCAUUUGUUGCCAGAAAAAGGUAAUAGUUAUUAAGAGGGGGUCCUAGAGAACAGGAGGACAGCUUUGUUAUUGCUACCCCAGUAAGAAGAUUAAUAUUUACAUUAUUUAGAGUUAGAUAAAAUACGUAAAUCAUAAGAAAGAAGGCAACCCAGGUAGUAAAGUGCAAAGAGAAAGACAGGCCUCCCUGAUUUCAUAAAAGAGAGCUUGGACAUACGAAGGUUCAGUUUGAGGAGGAAUCUGGGAAAUGCAUAGUGACCCUCCUAGAUGCCAUCCAAGGCCAACUAGAAAAGAAAUGAAAGCCACCACUGAGAGUGUUCACAGAAAGGAAUGCUAUACAGUGCUGAGGAUGGAAAGAUUUCCAGCCUGACUGGAUGUCAGUGUGGAGGAUCCUCCAAAAGCCUAAAUCUGGCCCACCACAUGGUUCAUAUAUACCUUUCCAAAGAACUCAAUAUAUUAGAGAGUUACUUGCCCAUCAGUGUUGACUGCAGCACUGUUUCAAGAAUAUUAGGGAACCAAGCAUGGUGUCCAACAGCAUUGCCAUUGGUGAAGAAAAUGGGAUGUUCGUAGAACGUGAAGUCUUUCCAGCCAUAGGGAAAAUGAAGUUAUGUUGUUUGCAGUAUGUGGAUUCAACUGAGGUACAUGAGAUGGCUCAGUAGAUAAGAACACUUGCUUUUCUUGCAGUAUCCUCAGGCUCACUCCAGAGCACCUUCUGGUUGCUUUCAAUCUCUCUUAACUCCAGACCUCAGAGACCCGAUGGCCUCUUCUGGCCUCUGUGGGCACUCCACACAUGUGUUCCACAGGAAUUCAGGUGGACGACAAACAAACACACAAACACAAAAUCAAGUAUUUCAAAGAUUUGAUUUCAAAGAUGGUGAUUUCAAAGAUGGAUACAACUUGAGACUAACAGUAAUCAAAUGAAAACCUACUCAGGAAAUUGGUCAAUCUUGUAUAUUUUCUCUUUAAGGUGGGUGCUUGAUUGUGUACAUAUGGAAUCCUGUAUUUCAUUUCAUGAAAUUUCAGGAGGAGCUCUGUCCCAGACUAGUAAUAAUUAAAGGGCUGGGGUGAGAGUUUCAAAAUGGGAGGAAAUGUGGUGAGAACAGGAUUGUGUUAACUAUAACAAUAUACACUAUAGGAAACAUACCAAGUUCAAAGACUUUUAUUUUAUUUAAAAAUAAAAGUCAAUAAUAAUAAUUUUAUUACCACUACAGAUAUUAGCUAAUUACUUUUACCUUAAAUAACACAACCAGGGGACUUAUAUCAUAUGAUGUAUUUAUGUAACAUAUAUUACUACUUAGACAACAUAAAUGAAUAAUAGCAAAGGUACCAAGAAACCAUCAAAACCCUCUAUAUAUACUUACUCAUAAAUAAAAUGUAACUGACUUUAGUUUCUCCAGUCACUUUUAGUGUCUUCAGAUAUUUACAAGUAUAGAAACUAUGUCUGACCAUUUAUAUAUUAAAUCUAGAUGUACAUAUUAUUCACGUUAACUCAAUAUGUACCUACAUAUCUACAUGUACAUCCAUGUCUUUAUAUCCAAUGUAUACAUGUAUAUGUGUCUCUGUAUCUCUCCUUCUCUAUGUUGAAUAGUACUGUGAUCCAAAGUCUAGGGUAGCCCUUACAUGACAUAGCCAAAAUAUGUAGAAAUUUCCAUAUCCUUCUGCCUCUGAAGGAAGAGCUGUGGUUUUCCCAGAGAGGUGUACUUGGCAGCAUUCUCUCUCUCCUGUUGAGCCUGCCUCUUCAUGGCCUCCCUCUCUGGUCUCUGCUCUUCUGUGAUGGGCUGUGAGAUGACUGGCCCUGGAAUGUCAACUUUCCUCCAUGGAAUUGGUUGGUGGCUGAAGUUUGCAGCAGAUAUUGGAUUUGAGGUUUGUGAGGUGAUGGGGCCUUGUUCUUGUCAGCAUAGGCAAGCUCCCUCUGUAGUGAAGGGUGAGAUGAUGCCCUGUAGGAUACUGGCCUACAGAGAGCUGGCUGAGGCCCAGGGCAAGACUGGAUGGGGUUGGUUAUGUUAGCUCGUGUGGCACUGGUAGCAAUAGGCAGAAGUGGCUUGUCAGAGGCCAUCAAAGAAGUUCUGGCAGGAGCUGGUUUAGAUGGCUUGAGUGUGGUAGGCUGAGCUGAGUGAGAAUGAGGCCUCACAGGGUAUACUGCAGGGGCCCUGCGUGAAGCCAGGGAGAGAGGCCUUCUAGAAACCAGUCUGGCUUGCUGCUUGUCCAGGGCUGGAAAAGGCAGAGGUACUAACUUGACCUUCCCAGGUGGGGGCAGCUCAUACUGGGAUGGAGAUGGACACUCCCUGUGAGCAUUGCUCCCUGGUCUCUGAGCAUUGCUCGGGGUUUUACCAGGGCCCGGCCAUCACAUGGCACAUCCAGAAGGGAUGAAGUGGCUGGGCAUGUUCUAGGAUCUUUGUUGCUGCUGAGGUUCAGCCGAGCCCGGGAGGAGGAGAUGCCAGUUUUCUUCUCACUCUUCUUCCCCAGUGGGUGAAAGACUUGCACGGAUUCUAGCAUGUGCAUGCCGAGGUGAGUUCGAGGCUUUUUAAAGCUGUCGUGGAUGAGCUCCGGAGGAUUCCUCUUCCUCUUGUUCUUUGGCUUGGUGCUGUUUUCUUCCUCCUUGACUCUGUUCCUUGACAGCUUCAGCUCCUCUGUUUUCUUGGAGUUGUUUUCUCUGGUUCUCUUUGUCUUGUCUGGCCCUUAGCCCUAGCUCUGCUGGGCAUGCUAAGUGUGGCUUUCUGGGAUUUGGCUUCCAUGUGCUUAGGCAUGUUGUCAAUAGCCCCUUCACUGGACCCAGCACUGCCCACAGCCCCUUCUUCCUCCACCAGAGCCUGGUGCUGGAUUCUGGCCUUAGGAGAUGCAUCAAGCAUCUCAGAGGCUUUCUGGCCAUUCUUUCUCACUUGGUCCACAGGUACCCUGAUGAUUUUGGAGCUUUCCUCGACCUGAUCCCUCCUGAUGUCUUUGGAUUGGGUUGCUGUGGGAUCUUGGAAUUGGUUCAUUUCAGUGAGGGAGUUGAAGAUUCGAGGAAGGUGAAUAUCUGCCACCAGUGUAGUCAUGUCUGCAAAGUCCAUACUGGAGCCCAUCACACUCUGCAGCAACCCAGGCUCAUCCUGACCAAGGCUGCUGCUUCCCAAGGUGGCAUUGUCAGGAGAAAGCUUCUGUUUUAGGCUCCCUGAAUCAGUGUAGUCCAGGGCCUGCUGCAUGUUGGCAUGUGUUAAAGGGAGAAGUGAUGGGUCUUGUUUUCUUUUAUGCCCUCAUAGGCAUCCAGAGGAGUUGAUAGAUCAGCUGUCAUCAAAUAUAAGUCGUUAUUCUCUGUUUGUUCCAAGCUUGGAUUAGGAGGCAAGGGCAGGAAUUCCACAAAACUGUCAAUGGGGGCAGUUAAUGACCAGUCCCAAUGGACAGGUGGUGUCUUCUGGACAUCCUGGGUGCAGGCAUUGCAGAGGUCUGGACUCUGCAGCAGACAGAGUGUCUGGCCUGAAGCUGUCAAUCCCAGGGUUGUCUCCAUUUUCACCACUGAAAAAGAGUCAAGGAAGAAGUCAGAGCCUGGUAAGUGAGGUGCUUCCCACUUUUCAGUGCACCUCAGUACUCAGACCCCUACAGCAGUGGGGAAGGCAUUCCUAUGAACUCUCCUUGAGUAGCAUAGGCAGCACCCCUGUUGGGAGACUUGUGACCACUGUCUUAUUUCUUGUAACCAUGUGAUAUCACGUUUUUCUCAGAUGUUUGUGUUUUCCUCGGUGUUUGUGUGUUGUGUGCAUGCAUAGUGAUCAUGGGGAGGUGACAGAAUUCUUUUUUGGUGUGGUCCUCCCUUUCCUUUCCCAUGUCUCUGUAAGAGGGACCUUCAUUUCCGUUGAAGUUUGCUAUUAGGCAGGUUGUCUGGUCCACAAUUUUCAAGAACUUACCCUUGUCUUCCAACUCUUGGCAUUACUCAAAUGCCCCCAGUUGCCUGACUUUCUAAAUGGGUUCAGGUAACCAAACCCAGUUCCUCACUCCUGCAAGGCAAUCAUUUCUACAACCCUGGAUUUCCUCCAGCUCCACAUUUCACAAUCUUGUUAUUAAUGAUGUGAAAAUUGGUUUAAGAAGGUGAAAUCUUAGCCAGGCGGUGGUGGCGCACGCCUUUAAUCCCAGCACUCGGGAGGCAGAUCCAUGCGAAUCUCUGUGAGUUCGAGGCCAGCCUGGGCUACCAAGUGAGUUCCAGGAGAGGCGCAAAGCUACACAGAGAAACCUUGUCUCGAAAAACCAAAAAAAAAAAAAAAAAGAAGAAGGUGAAAUCUUUAGCUUGUGUUAUGUGUGUAGUUUAGAACAUAUCCUAGUGAUCAUGAAUAGCCUUGGAUCACCUCUAUAGCCAUAGCAAAAGAAAAGGGGAGAGAGAGGUAGAGGGAGAGGGAGAGGGAGAGGGAGAGAGAGAGAGAGAGAGAGAAGGAGGGGCGUGGUGAGUGGUAGAGGGAGAAGAGAGAGAAAAUCUUUGCCUAACUUAGCAAUUGUACACUGCAGACAGAGAGAAACAGAGAGAGAGGAGAGAGAGAGAAAGAGAGUGAGAGAGAGUGAGAGAGAGAGAGAGAGAGAGAGAGAGAGAGAGAGAGAGAGAGAGAGAAGAGUUGCCCAACUUAGCAGUUGUACACUGGUUCACCAGGUAUACUGGACUCUCAAUGCACUUAUGCUUGGAAGAGAACAGCAAGGCCAGCACUUGGAAUCUGCGAGGAAUACUUCUUCUAGGACAGAUUUGGAGUUGCACUGCUCUAGAGUCAGAAUUGAACCCAGAGAAAAUAAAAUGUUCCCAAACAGAAAGGCCUUGGUGUCCUCUACAGCCCUGAGAAAUAGAUUAGGAAGGAAGUGAUUGCUGUGUAACCUUGCAUGGGAAUGAUAAGCUAGGUCAGUGAUGUGUGUGUCUGUGGUGGUGUCCUUGGACAUGUCUUAAUGGAGGAUGGGUGCCACUCAUUGCCCUGCAUUGUCAGUCAUUAUAGAGACUGAAGAUGGGGAUGGUGAGCCAGGCCAAAGCUGAGCUCUCAGGACUCCCAUCCUUUCUCCCUGAGGACAUCCACUGCUGAAAGGUGGAGCUGUGUCUGCUUUGAAUGCUGAUCUCAGUCCUCCCCUCCUGGCUUUACUCACCUUGAAGACUGGUGUCUGGCAUGUCUUGAGCAGGUGUGGGAUAGUAGGAGGCAGAGGUGGUGAAGGGUAUUUGGAUAUUCGUUGGCUGAAUCUCCUUUGGCAUCAUCACCAUCCCUGGUUGCAGGGCAGAGGACUGAUCCCCAGAGUAGAAUUCAGAGCCACAGGCCUGCAGGCACUGCCUGAGUUCUUCAGCCAUCAGAGGGCCCAGGCUGUUGACGUCAUUGUAAUAGACCUGGCUGCCAUCCUGGUAGGAAGGUGCCAGGCUGUAUCCUUGAUUUGGUACCUGUGGUGGUGUGGCCUGAACAAGGCUGGCAGAUAGUAUUGGAUACAAGAGGACUAAUGCAAUGGGAUCUAAAAUAUUGUCACCUUGGGCUGUCAUAGACAAGGAGGAGAAUGUGGUAUUCUGGUCAAUGACAGUUACAGUGAAGUCCUGGAGUGCAUCUCCCUUCCUGUCAGUGCUUCCCGUGGGAUCCCACUGGAGAACACCUAAAUAGGAGAGUGCUAAGGCAGAGCUCUGGCCCUGGUCACCAUGCGCAGUCACCAUGGUUGUGCCAGCUGGUAAGUAGGGGUAGGCACUGUCCAUGAGCUGCUGGGAACAAGUGCUGGAGUCUGAUGGCAGGAGCCAUGCUGAACUCACAGCUGGGGUGGAGACCCUGGAGAAGUUGCACACACUUCCUGCUAAGGGCGUGGCAUUCCUCAGCACAGGUGCAGAAGGCUGCAAGGCACAUUCUGUCCCAAAGAAAGGUGCACUUUGGUAAUUUUCUGUAGGAAGGAAGAGGAAAGUGGGAAGAACAGUGAGAUGGAAUCUGUGUGGCUUCCCGUGAAGAGCUUUGUUAUCUGCAGUUUGUCCUGUCUGGCAGGGAAUCCUUGUGAAAAUUCCUGCACACACUGGUGUGUCAGUUCUUGUCCAGGGAACAACUGACUGUGGAGAACCCUGCCCAUGUUGUUAACAUCCGAAACAACCAAAAGAUGUGGAGAAUGCUGUGGAAGAUGGGCUGGAUAGAGUCCAUGGAUCUUGUGGCAAUGCCAGGAAUUCUGAAGGUUGUGGAUGGGGGCAGUUAAUGACUUGCCACCAUCAACAGGUGGUGUCCUCAUCUGGUAAUCCAGUUGCAGGAGUACAGAGUUCUGCUCUGCAGCAAACAAAGAAUCUGGCUUGAUGUGUGAUUCCCAGGGAAGUGUCCCUUUGCACCACUGAAAAAUAGUCAAGGAAAAAGUCAGUCCAUGAAGGGAAUUCUUAUCUUGUACUGCAAUCCACCAUAAAAUGUUCUGUGACUGAGUAGUUCCUACAUCCCAGAGGUAAGACAACUGCUAUUGUUUUGUUGAAUGGAAUGGUUGGGUCUCUACAUUUCCCUUCUAAACCUUUGCAAUUUUGCAGGAGAUUAAUGUAGUUGCAGAUGUAACAGUUACAGUCUGCUUCCUUGCUGGCCAUCCUUUGGCAUUUGUUUCUGUUGCUGUUGGAGAGAGUUGUCAUUGUUUCAGCUGCUGAGUCUCAGUGGCUGCUGCUGUGUGUAGAUGGCAGGCUGGUACUCAGAAAUGGAUCAUGUACAUAGCAGUCCAUCCAAAGCUCAGGGAUUGUCCUACAAGUAGUCCAAUCAAAUUGAGAACUAGAGCAGUGGGGUAGAAUAGUGUAGCAUGGCUUUUUAUUCCAAAAUCAAGUGAACAUCCCAUUGUGAUAUGUUAGCAGUGAUUACCUUGUAUAGAUGGAUACCUUAGAAAGUAAUUGAACAGAAAUUUGCAGUGAUAGACAGGUCUGUGUCUGUGAAGCUUAACUGUACAUAGUAGAAGGAGCCAUGGAGAUUCUUGAAAACUUGACUUGUCAUUCUAGACGUUACUUGCAUUUGACUAUCAGGCCCAUUGAAAAAUGGUUUUUCUGAUGCUAGAGAGUAAGAAGUGGAGAGUUUACUGAAAGUAGGGGGCUUCCAAGUAUUGCUUCCACAGGAAAUACCAAUAAGUUGGUGGGUAUAAUGUGAAGUAUUCUACCCUCUCUCUAUUUCAGUAUGAGGUCACUUUAAACACCAUCACUAUGUCUAUAUCAUUUCCCAUUUAUACUACUCCAAGGAAUUGAACAUGUUAUUGCUUUGCACAUCAGUACAUAUCACAGCAUUUUUCAGGAAUAUCUAUGUUAGCUGAUCUUGCUUUCCAAUAAGAGAGCAAUGGAGAAGGCAUAUGUGAUGUCUACACACAACAGAACCAUUUCAGCUAAAGUGAUGAAUUCAGUCAAGGUGAUUGCAGGAGAGUUAUUGUAACUCGUGAUAAUCAUAUUAUACCAUAUGUAUCCAGUCCCAGACAAAUAUCUCCUGAUGCUGUCUGUAUAUAUGGAUCCUAGAUUACACAUAUCUCCAUGGUUCCAUUCAUGACUUGGGAGGCAAUGCUGUCAAGAAGUUGUCAAUGCCUAAGAUUUUUUGGUGACAGUUAAGGAAAGUUACUGGGCUCAGUGUACAAUGUACAGUUUUAAAAGAAUAUGUUCAAUGAAAAGUACAAUGAGAACUAAUGUUAUUGAGAAGGAUUCCGUACAAGUACAGCACUAUAUGAAUUGCUUUAAUAUGAAAAUGCUUCCUGAGCUUUGUUUAAUAAGAAUUAUUCUACAAGACCCUUAGUUUGAAAACAUCAAGAUUAAAGCAAUAAUAUCAAGGUUAGAAGAUAGCUAUUCAAAUGCAUUUCUAUUGCUCCUAAGAUGUAAAAUGAAGCACAGUAGUCUCAUGGCAGGGCCUAAAUCUGUAAUUAAAGCCACACAAAGAGAGCAUAACACCGUAGGCCUCCUUAAGCCAUUGCUUUUCAUUAUUCUGUUGUACCCAAAUUUGUCCCUGUGAGGAUCAUCGUAUACAGGUAGUAGGAUCUUUUCAUGGUGGGUUUGUUAAUAUUUUCUACAUGGAUGAAUUUGGAAAUAGCUCUUUUUAGAAUGAACAAUUUUGGUCCUACACAGUAGUUAGAUAUUGUGAAGACAGAUACACCAUUUGUGGUGAUAUUUUAUUUGUAUGUUAAUAUAUAAAGCAUGCCUGGAGAUCAAGGGCAAAAUGGCCAGCCACUUUUAAGUAAACAUAGAAGUGAUGCAGUGGUAGCACACUUUCAUAAUUCAAUCAUGUGGCAUAGGGUCUCUGUGUGUUCAAGGACACACUAGGGAACAGCCAAGCAUGAUGACACACGCAUUUAAUCCCAGGACCAACCACAGUGACCUGGCGGUCUGUACAGACAGGCAUUGACAAGGAAGUGAGGUAGCUGGGCUAAGAGCCAAUGAGAGGGCAGUAUAGCAAGGCAAUAAAGGCAUGGGUAAGACAGGAAGUAGCUCACUUUUGGUAGGUGCAGGACUGGAGAGGUAAAGUUGGUGGCUCUCUCUAUUUCUUUGAUCUCUAAGGCUUUCACCCCUAUAUUUGGUCUGUGUUUCUUAUUUAAUAAGACCAUUUAGAAAUUCAUCUACAAUUGGUGCUCACGUGGCAAGAAUUCAUUAAAAAAACCCAUUGAUGGCCUUAUAGGCCAGGGUUUACAGGCCCCCUGCCUUGGCCAGAGCUACAUGAGAUCUGGCUAAAUGCAGCUGGAGCUACUUGCAGCCAGAUCUCCUACUCAUGUUGCUGGAGCUGCAAGGUUGCAGAGCUGCAAUCAGCUGGACUGCUUGUGUGUUUACAGAGCCGCUGGUUCAGGCCAGAGCACGUGGCUGGACUUUUUAUUUAGUUUUUAGCUUUUAGGUGGUGCUUUCUCUCUCUUUCUCUCUGUCUCUCUGUCUCUAUCUCUGUCUCUCUGUCUCUCUGACUCUCUGUCUCUCUCUGUCUCUCUGUCUCUCUGUCUCUGUCUCUGUCUCUCUCUCUCUCUCUCUCUCUGUCUUUCUGAUUCCCAUUUUGGACUGCCACCCAUGCUUGGUAGCUGCUUUGAAAGUCCCUUGGACUUCUACUGUUCUAUGCAGACUUGGUAAGUCAAUUAAGAUAUCAGAUAUCUUAAAAGGAGAAACUAGUUAAAAGAGAACAUUUUUUUCCAUAUUAAAAAAUAGAAAAUAUUUUUCAAUAAAAGGAAAUUAGUCUUUGAUAAUUCAUUAGACAGUCUGAAAACUGUACAGUUAAAUGAGAGGAUAAUUAAUGUUGAUAGGAUGUAGGAAACAUCAGUUAUAACUAUUAUUUGUUUAAUUAUCCUUAUUUUAGUAUUAAAAAGAUUGGUGAAGUUAAGUGCCAAGACAAAAGCUUGAGGAAAAAAAAGGUUAAAAUGAAUUAUAGAGAAAUUCAGACCCAGGCAGAAGACUUUAAAGGUGAAAUUAUUUCAGGAACGCAUUAUAUGGUUACAGAGAGACAGCCUCUUUUCAAACAAUCAAACCUAAUUCAUCUGGUAGCCUUAUAGGAACUACCUGCUCAAGGGCAUGUACAAGCCAAUUGGACUCCAGUGGAAAUGUUGGAUUUAAGGAGAUUUAAAGAAGCUAUAGUAUCCCAUGGAAUGCAUUCUCCAUUUGUAAAGCAAAUGUUAAACUCGUGGUCAACUUGUAAUAGGAUUAUUCCUCAGGACUGGAAAGAGUUGGUAACAGAUGUUCUAGAAUCCAGAGCACAAUUACAGUGGUGACAAUGGCUUAAGGAGGAGGCUAAGGCAAUAGACACCAUGUAGAAGUAGAGGUGUGGACAUUGCCCAGGAUCAAAGACAAUGUUCAUAUGAUAAUCAAACCUUAAUUCUAUGCCGCAUGGCAGCCAUGAAUGCAUGGGACAGAAUUGAGGAAGCAGGAAAAAAAAUGAAAAUUUAAGUAAAGUGGUUCAAAGUCAUUAUAAUUCAGUUCAAAAAUGGAAUUGUAUGAUAUUCUUUGAUAUUAACGGAUUUUUCAGAACCUCUCAACAUAGUUACAAACUCUCAGUAUGCUGAAAGAGUGGUAUUAUAUAUUGAGACUGCAGAAUUUAUCCCUGAUGAGUCAGAAUUAACUUCACUAUUUAUUCAGUUACAAGAUAUAAUCAGGAAUAGGAGCAUCCCUUAUAUAUAACUCACAUCUGAUCCCAUAUGGGUCUGUCAGGCCCUCUAGCACAAGGUAAUGACAAGAUUGAUCAAUUAUUGAUAGGAAAUGUGAUGGAGGCUUCAGAAUUUCAUAAAAAACAUCAUGUCAAUAGUAAAGAUUUAAAAAAGAAUUUUUCCAUAACAUGGCAACAAGCUAAGGAUAUUGUAAGGAAAUGUCCUAAUUUUUCCUUUUAUAACCAGACUCUGCUACCAGCUGGAUAUAACUCAAAGGGUACUCAGAGGAAUGAAAUCUGGCAGAUGGAUGUGUUUCACUUUGCAGAAUUAGGAAAACUAAAAUAUGUACACUAUGCCAUUGAUACUUAUUCAGGAUUUCAGUGCGGAAAUGCUUUUGGUUCUGAAAAUGCUGAACCUGUAAUCAUGCAUUUGCUAGAAGUUAUGGCCAUCAUGGGUAUACCUGCACAAAUUAAAACUGACCGUGUUCCAGCAUAUGUCUCUCGUAAAACAAAACUUUUAUGCUUAUUACAAUAUAAAGAAUAUUACAGUUAUACCACAUAAUCCUACAGGCCAAGCAGUUUUAGAAAGAUCAAAUAGAACUCGAAAGGAUAUGCUAAAUAAACAGAAAGGGGUAACAACCCCCCCCAGAAAUAGAUUACAUAAUGCUCUAUUAACUUUGAAUUUUCUCAGUGCUAAUGAGAAAGGAAAAUAGCUGCAGAGAGACAAUGGAUAAUAGAUAAAACUGCAGAAUUAAAUUGGCCUAUAUACUUUAAGGAUGUGCUGACCUCAGAAUGGAAACCAGGAUAUGUGUUACAUUGGGAACGAGGUUUUGCUUUUGUUUCUAUAGGAAAAGAUAAGCUGUGGAUACCAUCAAAAUUGAUAUAGGUUCAAUUUGAACAAUGGAGACCGCUUAAUUAGAAGAGGUGAUAGUUCAUCAACCAGCAUGACCAUCCAAUUUAAACUAACUUAUACCACUAACAAAUGCCUUUUUAUUUAAUCAGAUAUAACUUGCCAAAAGGGAACCUCUCCAAAGUUAGGUUUGGGGAAGCGUUUUUUGUUUUUGUCUUUCAGGAGAAUGAAGGCCAAGGAAUCUGAAGAACACUGGACAAAUGAGACAUCUGAAGAAAAAGGACAAAUCAUCUAGAAAAAUGUCCCAAGAAAAAGAGUAAUUUGGCCUGUUGGUGUAUCACAUGUAAAAUUUCUUAAGUCUUCCUAAAUGUUUGUUUCUGCUCUUCUCUACAGACCACUAACACAAAUGGUCUUUUUGUAGUCCUAGUUCAAUUAACAAUUAAAGCUGGCUUUGAAGUUGGAGAAUGGCUCUUUCCUUCUCUAAACCCACGUAUGUUGUUAAAAGGAAAAUGGAAAAUCUCUGUGUCAUGUCAGAUGAAAGAGCCAUCUUCUGAUAUAGGACAGAAGAAAACCAAAAAAUUAAGGAACUGGUUUUUUUGCCACUAAUCUCAAUUCUUUGGUUCUAUUUUGAGUCUUUAAACUUUUCUUAAGUUAUGAAUUUUAUAUCAAAAUUUACAAGAUUUAUAUAUGUAUAUAACUUUGUCAUGAUAUUAUUGGUCAUAUAGAGUACUACCUAAUUCUAGAAAAAGGCUUAAUUUAGCUGCCUAUACAUGUUUUUGUGUCGGAGUCUCUAUCAGUUUUCUGCAGGGAAUCAUGACCAGGCCUAACCUCGAAUUUGAAGUCUCCAGAAAGAUGAUGGAGUCCCAUAACAAUGAUUCCAUAUGGACGAUAAUAAUACCACUAAGCUGACAAACAUCACCCAAAGAUCAGCUUUGGACUACAAACUGCUCAGAACAAUUUCGAGAUGGCUAGCUGAGAUGAUCCUGUUUCAGAGACUACUUGAACAAAGACUUGAGAUAAGCCCUGCACUUUGGCAUUAUGCCAAGACUGGACAACAAAUGAUAUAACUACCUCUCCUGGAACUUGACAUUUAACCCAAAAAUUUUCUUUUCAGAAUCUUCUAAAGAUGCUAUCACCCACAAACUGCAGAAAGCAACUUUUCAGAGCACUAUGCCCACAUUUCCAAGAGGUGGGGCGGGUGUUUUUUGGUUUUUCAAUGGGUUUUGGGUUUGGAGUAGUUGUCAUUGUUUAGGAGGCUUGGUUACAAGUUGUUGUAGUUAAUGGUCAGGAAAAGGGCUAAACAAAGGAGAUUAGAUUUAAAAUUCUUGUUUGGAAAAAAAGAUGAUAUAGAUAAGACGUAGAUUAUUGAAUCUACUCUGAAAAAAAGAUAUAGAAAUGAUAGAAUAAAAGGUACAUUAUUGAAUCUACUCUGAAAAAAACGAGAGGAUAUAGAUAUGAUACAGUUAAAAAAGUAGAUUAUCGAAUCUAUUUUUAAAAGACAACUACUAGUUUUAAAUACUUUACAUUGGAUUGAAUUUUUAUAUAUUGUAUACAAAUUAUAUAUAUUGAGAUUGAUAUUGUUAGAAAAUGCUGUAUGUAUAUUGCUAAUCUUGUUCAGGAUAUUGUACCUAUACAGUUCAUUUAACAAUUCGCUAAUCCUUGAAAGUUAUUAUUAUCAACUAUUAGGAUAUAGAGAAAUGAGAAUUAGUAGUUAGUCAUUACAAUUGAACUUGUCAUCAUAUUAGGUGUUUUCAAGGUUAAGCAGAGAUAUAUUUUAGAUAGACAGGUCAUCUUCAAAUCUUUCAGAGAUCUACAGAAUAUGGCAUUUAAAUGUUUUAAUAACUUACAAUUUUUUUUAUGGUUAUGGGACUUGUUGGCUUCUGGCAGCAUCAAUCUACUUCCGAGAAGAUAUGGGCAUUGAAGAAACUGCAUAUGGAGUUAACUUUCAUUAUGGCAAAAGUUAGCCACUGGGCAACAAAGUGCCCUUGUAUCAACUGCUGAGAGUAUGCUAUCCAAAAUGGACCAAGAGGACACAAAGCAAAGGACUACCGAUCCUUGCCAAAACAAGUGUGGUUGUGGCUUUAGCAACAGGCAUCCUCUGAUGCCAAGACUAUAUGGCACCAUCGCUAAAGUGGCCUUUGCAAUCUGGAAAAGGUACAGGGCACCUUUCUAAGAAGGCAGCUCAACAGGCAAUGGACCGAUGUCUUCUGUUAUGCAGUGGAACAGUAGCUGAAACAGUUAUUCUUGAAAGAGUUACUAGGCUGAUAGAGUCUAACCUCUCAAUGGUAGACUGGCUUUUAAUAAAGGAGAUGAAGCCACCCACAAGCCGAGAAGAAUGGGAUGCAGAGAAGAACAGGAUGCUGAGAUGAAGCCCUCCACAAGCUGAGAAGAAUAAGCAGAUGAAUUCCAGAAACACCAGCAAUUUCCAGGAUUUAAAAUCCUGAAUCAUGACAGGACACUGGUAGAAUUCAAUUUUAUCUGGUACAUGGAAUACUCAUGCCGAAUGUGAGGACAAGCUGUAGGCCUUGUGUAUAUCCUACUUCACAAAUGAGUCUGUCAGAUAUGCUAAGCCUCUAGGCUGAAGAUGAUGCCCCAACAUUGCAGAAAACCUCAGGUGACUGUCCAGACAGCUGGCUGUUUCUGUCAACUCAUAAUUUUCCAGAAGUUGCUUGUUUGCAAUUCCUGUUUUACUAGGUAAUAUUAUUUCCUUCUUGGUCUCUGAGGGAGUUGAAGAUUUGAUAGUCAUAGUUACAUUUUUCCUUCUUAAGAAAUUUCAAAAAAAAAAAAAAGAAACUCACUAAGAGGUGAAAAGUAUAUAAGUUCUAAGGAAUAUUACAGGACAAUUUUCUGUUGGUAAUACAAGUUCAGGUAGAAAGUGAAUUAGGUACAUUUUGAACUCACAAAAAGUAGAGUAGAUAAUGUAAUAUUUUCUCUAAAUUUGUCAAAUUGCUGAUGUAUUUAUUGCUUGUAUAUAUUGUAUAUAGUUGUACUUAUUGUAUAUAGUUUUUUUUAUAUUAUUUAUAAAUUUUAUUCUUAAUAAAUAAAGCACUUUUAAGUAAACACAGCAAUCAGGAAGUGGUAGCACAUACCUUAAUCCCGUCAAAAGGCAGACAGGGUCACUAUGUGUUCAAGGAUGCACUAGGGAACAGCCUAGUGUGGAGCCUUUAAACCCUGCACCAACCAUAGAGACCUGGAGGUCUGUACAGACAGGCAUUGACAAGGAAGUGAGGUAGAAGGGCUAAGAGCCAAUGAGAAGACAGAACAGCAAGGCAAUAAAGGUGAGGGUAAGAGAGAAAGUACCUCACUUUUGAAAGCUGCAGGACUGGAGAGGUAAGGUUGGUGGCUAUCACUAUUUCCCUGAUCUCUAAGGCUUUCACCCCUAUAUUUGGCUUUGUGUUUUUUAUUUAUUUAAGACGGUUUAGAAAUUCGUUUACAACCAUGAAACUCUAUGAACAGGGUGAAUACAAUUCCUCAGUAAAAUUCAGAUGCCCCACUUCCUAGAAGUAGAAAAGCAAUCAUAACUUUACCACAAAAGCAGAGAAUACCCAGGAUAGCAUGAGCACACCUCAUUAGAGGUCAGUGCUUCACAGGUAUUGUAGCAAGUACAGCCUACAACUGAAACAAGGCACAUUGUCAGGAAAAGAUUAAUCCGAGUUUAGUUGCGGUUGUAAACACAUGUGGUUUAGUCUCUUUGGAUUUUAGGUAUGUACCAAAAAUGCACCCUGGAGUACACAUGGCCUCUUCAUCAAGACAUGCAUGGAAAUGUUAUUCACAUGUACAGAAAGAAUCUGGAUUCCACCUGGCUUCUUGGAGCAUUCCUUUAGUCUCAGCACUCUUGAGGCAGCAGAGGAGGAGGAGGCAGAAGUGGAGACAGAAGGGGAGGCAGAGGCUGAGAUGGAGAUGGAGGCAGAGGGGGAGGCAGGCAGAUCUUCAUGAGUUCAAUGUUGCGUGUUCGAUGUAGUCAGUUCUAGGACAUGCUGGGCUAUGGAGAGGGUCCCUGUCUCAAGAAUCUGAAAGUGAGUUAAUAAAUAAAUUAUUUUGUUUAGUAUAUGUAACCCUGGAAAAAGAUAAUGACAAAUGUCUCAGAGGCCAAAGUGUAACAAACUCUGAUACUAUUAGAGCACAGAGUAGCACAAAGAGUUGAAGGUUCAGGAGAUGCCAGUUUUCUUCUCUCCCUUCUUCCACAGUGAGUGACAGACCUUCACAGACACCAGCAUGUGCAAGCCGAGGUGUGUUUGAGGCUUUUUAAAGCUAUGAUGGCUGAGCUCAAGUGGAUUCCACUUCCUAUUGUUGUGGAGGACAGUGGGCUUCUCUUCUGCCAUGACUGACUUGAUGGCUUCAGAUCCUUCAGCUUUCAUGGAGUUGAUUUCUCUAGCUCUUUUUGGUCUCAACUUGCCCAUGAACCCUAGGUCUACUGAGCCUACAGAGUGUGACCUUCUGAGCUUUCCCUCCAUUUGCUUGUCUGUGUUGUCAAUAUCUCCUUCUGGCCACAGCACUAGCCAAAGCUUCUCUCCUUCCACAAGGUCCUGAUACUGGAUUCUGGCUAGAGAUUCUCCAUGAAGCAGAUUAGAGUGUCUCUCUUCCUUCAUCCUCAACAGGUUUAAGGGUGUGCUGAUGACACCUUAUCUUUACUGGGCCUGAUUGCUCCUGAAGACUAUGGAGUCUUUGCAUUAGGUGGCUGUGGGAACCUGGAAUUGGUUUAGUUCAGAGAGGGAGUUAAGCAGUUGGGAAUGUGAACUUCUGCCAUCAGCAUAGUCAUGUCUGCAAGUCCAUGCUGGAGGCCAACACACUGUGCAUGUUCCAGGCUCAUCCUGACCAUGACUGCUGCUUUCCCUGGUGGCAUUGUCAGAAGCAAGCUUCUGCCCUAGGCUCCCAGCAUCAGUGAAGUGCAAGGGAUGCUGCAUGUCGGGGUGUGCUAAAGGGAGGAGAGAUGGGUCCGGGUUUUCUUUCAUGCACUCAUAGGCAUCCAGAGGCAUUGACAGAUUUGCUGCCAUCUCAUGCAGGUUGUCAUUCUCUGUUCCAGGCAUGGAGCUUGUGGAAAUACCAGGAAUUCUGAAGGUUGGGUACUGUUAAUGACUUGUCCCCAUCAAUAGUUGGUGUCCUUAUCUGGGAAUGCAGUUCCAGUCAUGGAGCUUGUGACAAUACAAGGAAUUCUGAAGGUUGUAGUUGGGGUAGGUAAUGUCUUGUCUCCAUCAACAGGUGGUGUUCUCAUCUGGUAAUCCAGGGUGUAGGAGUAGCAGAGGUCUGUUCUGCAGCUGAGGGAGUCUCUGGAUUGAUGUGUGAUUCCCAGGGAAGUCUCCCUUUGCACCACUGAAAAAGAGUCAAGGAAGAAGUCAGUCUCUGGUGGGUGCUUGAUAGUGUAUACAUGGAAUCCUGUAUUUCAUUUAAUGAAAUUUUAGGAGGAUAUCUGUCCCAGACCAGUAAUGAUUAAAGGACUAGGGUAAGUGGUUCAAAAUGGGAGGAAGUGUUGGAAGAACAGAAGUGUGUUCACUAUACAGUAUACACUAUAGGAAACAUACCAAGUUCAAAAACCAGUAUAAUGAAAAUAAACGUCAAGGAGAAUAAUUUUAUAACCACUACAGGUUUUGACUAAUUACUUUUACCUUAAAUAACACUACCAGUGAUUUAUAGCAUAUGAUGAAUUUAUGUAACACAUAUUUCUACUUUGGAAACAUUAAAGAACAAUAGCAAAGGUGUGAAGAAACCAUCAAAGCCUUCUAUAUAUACUUACUAAUGGAUGAUAUAACUGACUUAAUUUCUUCAAUCACUUUUAGUGUCUUCAAAUAUUUACAAGUAUAGAAACUGUCUGACCAUUUAUAUAUAAAUCCCUGGAUCUACCAAUUAAUUUCCCUAACUCCAUAUGUACCUACUUACCUACACACUCACCAAGAUUUUAAUCCAACAUAUACAUGUAUAUCUCUGUCUAUAUCUUACCUUGUCUGUGUUGAAUAGCACUGUGUUCCAAAAACUAGGCUAGGACUUAUAUGACAUAGUCAUAAUAUCUAGAAAUUUCCAUAUCCUUCUGCCUCUGAAGGAGGAGCUGUGGUUUUCCCAGAGAGGUGUACUUGGCAGCAUUCUCUCUCUCCUGUUGAGCCUGCCUCUUCAUGGCCUCCCUCUCUGGUCUCUGCUCUUCUGUGAUGGGCUGUGAGAUGACUGGCCCUGGAAUGUCGACUUUCCUCAAUGGAAUUGGUUGGUGGCUGAAGUCUUUCACCAGAUAAUGGAUUUGAGAUUUUGGAGGUGAUGGGGCCUUUUUCCUGGCAGCAGAAAUAAGCUCCCUCUGUAGUGAAGGGAGAGAUGAUUCCCUGUAGGAUACUGGCCUACAGAGAGCUGGCUGAGGCCCAGGGCAAGACUGGAUGGGGUUGGUUAUGUUAGCUUAUGUGGCACUGGUAGCAACAGGCAGAACUGGCUUGUCAGAGGCCAUCAAAGAAGUGCAGGCAGGAGCUGGUUUAGAUGGCUUGAGUGUGGAAGGCUGAGCUGAGUGGGAAUGAGGCCUCACAGUCUAUACUACAGGAGGCCUGCGUGAAGCCAGGGAGAGAGUGUAGAUAUAACCAACCGUCUUAUUAAAUAAGAAACACAGAGCUGAUUCAGAGAAGAAAGCCAAGAGGUCAGAACUAAGAGCCUUACCCUUCCUGCUUCAGCCAAGAGAGCUCUCCGAAAAGGGGGCCUACUUACUGUGUGUAUGUCUUUAAAUAGUCUUUCUGUUCUGCCUUCUCAUUGGUUGUAAACCCAAACACGUGACUGCCUCGUCACUGCCUGUGUGUACAGCCCUCCAGGUCCUCUAUGGUAUUGAGAUUAAAAGUUUGUGUCUCCAAUGUUGGCUGUAUUCUUGAACACACAGAGAUCUACCUAGCUCUGUCUAACAAGUGCUGGGAUUAAAGGCUUGCACCACCACCACCAUGCUCUUGCUAUGGCACUAAUAGCUCUGAACCCUGGGCAACUUUAUUUAUUAAUAUACAAUUAAAAUCACAUUUCAGUACAAAUAAAAUACCACUAUAAGAGAGGCUUUCUAGAAACCAGUCUGGCUUGCGGCGUCUCCGGGGUGGAAAAGGCAGAGGUACUAACUUGACCUUCCCAGGUCGAGGCAGCUCAUACUGGGAUGGGGAUGGACACUCCCUGUGGACAUUGCUCUCUGGUCUCUGAGCGUUGCUGGGGGUUUUACCGGGGCCUCAGCCAUCACAUGGUACAUCCAGAAGGGAUGAGGUGGCUGGGCCUGUCCUGGGAUCUUUGUUGCUGCUGAAGUUUAGCAGAGUCCAGGAAGAGCAGAUGCCAGUUUUGUUAUUACACUUCUUCCCCGUGGGUGAAGGACCUGAGUGGAUGCCAGCAUGUACUUCCCAAGGUGAGUUUGAGGCUUUUUAAAGGCGUCAUUGCUGAGCUCAGGUGGAUUCCUCUUCCUCUUUGUCUUGGGGAUGGUGGGGUUCUCUUGUGUCUUGACACUGUGACUUGAUGGCUUCAGCUGCUGUAUUUUGCUGAAGUUGUUUUCUCUGGUCCUCUUCGUCUUGUCUUGCCCCUGCACCCUAGCUACCCUGGGCCUGCUGGGUGCAGAUUUCUGAGCUUUGACCUCCAAGUGUUUGUUGUCCAUGUUGUCAAUAUCCCCUUCACUGGCCCCAGCAUUGGUUCCAGCCUCUGCUCCCUCCACCAGGUCCUGGUGCUGGAUUUGGGCCUGAACAGCUCCAUGAAGCAGAUGAGAUACUUUCUGGUCUUUCUUGUUCACCUUUUAUGAGUCCAGUGAUGCUGGAACUUUCCUGGGCCUGAUCCUUCCUGAUGACUGUGGAGUCUUUGGAAUGGAUUGCUGUGGGAUUUUCCCAGUGGUCUAGGUCAGUGAGGGAGUUUAAGAGUUGAGGAAGGUGAAUAUCUGACAGCACUAUAGUCAUGUCUUCCAUGUCAUGCUUGAGACCAUGACACUCUACAAAGACCCAGGCUCUCCUAGACCAAGGCUAUUUCUUCCCAAGAUGGCAUUAUCAGAAUCUGGCUUCUACCUUAGUCUCCCAGCAUCAGUGUAGUUCAGGGGCUGCUGCAUGUCAGAGUAUGCUAGAGGGAGGAGUGAUGAGCCUUGGUUUUCUGUACUGCCCUCAUAGGCAUUCAGAGGCUUUGAUUGCUCAGCAAUCAUUUCUUCUACAUUGUUAUUCUCUGUUUGUUCCCGGCUUGGAGCUGGAGGCAAGGCCAGGAAUUCUGAAGGACUGUGAAUAAGGGCAGUUAAUGACCUGUCCCCAUCAACAGGUGGUAUCUUCAUCUGGGUAUCCUGGCUUCAGGCAAUUCAGAAUCAGGACUCUGCAGCAGACAGAAUGUCUGGCUGAAAGAUAUCUAUCCUAGGGCCCUCUCCCUUUCCACCACUGGAAAAGAGUCAAGGAAGGAGUCAGUGCCUGGUAAGUGAGAUGAUCCCCUCCUUUCAGUGGACCUCAGCACUCAGGCCUCUGUAGCAGUGGGCCAGGCAUUCCUAUGAACUCUGCUUGAGUGGCAAGUGUAGCAUCUCUGUUUAUGGACACUUAGUAACUACUCAAUUGUUUCUGGUGACCACGCAAUGUCUUAUUUUCUCAGAUGUUUGUGUGUUCCAUAUCAUUUUUUGGUGUGAGCAUGCAUAGUGGUCAUAGGGAGGUUACAGAAUUCUCUUGGUGUGUGGUCCUUUCUUGCCCUCCUUUUGACUUUGAAACAAUUCCUCUCAGUUAUUUGGAAGUGUUGUAUUAGGCAGUUUAUCUGGUCUAUAAUUUCCAAUACUUACACAAUCUGCUGACUUCUUUCAAGUAGUGGCAUUACUCAUGUGCAACCAGAUGUUUGGAUUUUUUGUGGAUUUCAGUGUGCAAACCCAGUCCUUCACUCCUGAAAUGCAAGCCGUUUAAGAACCCCAGCUUUCCUCGAGCUCCCAUUUCACAGACGUGUUAUAAGUGAUAUGAAAAUUACUUGAAGAAAGUGAAAUAGUGUGGCCUGAGUGUGUCUUUGUUAUAGAGAACAUGGGUACAUGAUCAUGGAUUUGUGUCAACACUGAAGAAUCACAGAGAAAAAGAAAGAGAAUAAGAGAAGAUACAGCAAGAGAGUGAGUAAGUUUGAGAGAGAGAGAGAGAGAGAGAGAGAGAGAGAAAGAGAGAGAGAGAGAGAGUGAGAGAGAGAGAAAGAGAGAGAGAGACAGAGACAGAGAGCGAGACAGAGACAGAGAGACAGAGAGAGAUAUUUGCAGUUGUGUUGCUCAGGUAUCCGAUUUCAACUCAGGAAAAAUCAAGUGCUAACAAAAUAUAAAAUUCUUGAUGUCUUCUAGAGCCCUGAGCACUAUCCUAGAAAGGAGGUGAUUAUAGUGUGAUGGAGCAUGGCACUGAUUGGCUUAGGCAGUGAUGUGUGUGUCUGUGGUGUGGUAGCUGAUCAUGUUUUAAUGAAGGAUGGAUGUCAGUCCCUAUCAUGCACGUUUCUUACUUUUGAGAUGGACGUUGGGGAUGGUGAGCCAGAGCCAAGGCUGAGCACUCAGGACUCCCAUCCUUUCUCCCUGAGGACAUCCACUGCUGAAAGGUCGAGCUGUGUCUGCUUUGAGUGUUGAUCUCAGUCCUCCCUCCUGGCUUUACUCACCUUGAAGACUGGUGUCUGGCAUGUCUUGAGCAGGUGUGGGAUAGUAGAUGGCAGAGGUGGAGAAAGGUGUUUGGACAUUCGUUGGCUGAAUUUCCUUUGACAUCAUCACCAUCUCUGGUUGCAGGACAGAGGCCUGACCCCCAGAGUAGGACACAGAGCCACAGGCCUGCAGGCACUGCCUGAGUUCUUCAGCCAUCAGAGGGCCCAGGCUGUUGAGGUCAUAGUAAUAGACCUGGCUACCCUCCCGGUAGGAAGGAGCCAGGCUGUAUCCUUGAUUUGGCACCUGUGGUGGUAUGGCCUAAACAAGGCUGACAGACAGUGUUGGAUAGGAAAGGACAGGACUAAGGCAAUGGGAUCUAAAAUAUUUUCACCCUGGACUGUCAUAGACAAGGAGGAGAAUGUGGUAUUCUGGUUAAUGACAGUUACAGUGAAGUCCUGGAGUGCAGCUCCCCUCCUGUCAGUGCUUCCCGUGGGAUCCCACUGGAGAACACCUGGCUAGGAGGGUGGUGAGGCAGAGCUCUGGCCCUGGUCAGUCAGUGCAGUCAACAUGGUUGUGCCAGCUGGUAAGCAGGGGUAUGCACUGUCCAUGAGCUGCUGGGAACAAGUGCUGGAGUCAGAUGGCAGGAGCCAUGCUGAACUCACAGCUGGGGUGGAGACCCUGGAGAAGUUGCACACACUUCCUACUAAGGGCGUGGCAUUUCUCAGCACAGGUGCAGAGGGCUGCAGAGCACAUUCUUUCCCAAAGAAAGGUGCACUUUGGAAAUUUUCCGUAGGAAGUAAGAGGAAAGUGGGAAGAAUGGUGAGAUGAAAUCUGUGUGGCUUAUGUGACAAGCUUUGUUAUCUGCAGUUUGUCCUGUCUGGGAGAGUCUGAGAUCUAUUUUCCCUCACAUAUGCCAUACAAAUGGUUCAGAAUGAUUCUUGGUAAUGGAUAGGAUGAUACUCAUUUGAUGAGCUGCCUGUUCUUCCUGUGUGGGCAUGCACUUCCUAGUUGAUCCACGUUGACCCUUGCUCUGACCUAGACAAUACCCUUCUUUGCCCUGUUUUGUGUUGUUCUCAUACCUGCUGUGGUACUGCCUCACAUGUUAGUCCCAGAACAGAAGUGUUUAAAGUAGGAGAACCUUAGACAGCUUCUCAUGCCUGUGCCUUUGUCCUGUUCUGUGCAAAUCUUUCUCUAUGUAGAGAGAGAGAUUCUCUACCUAGAUCAGUCUGGCCUUGAAAUCACACAGACUGGCCUGCCUCUACAUCAGAGUGCUGGCAUUGUAGGUUCUUUCCAUGUCCACCAAGCUUGGCUCUACUCUGAGUUUUCUUAAUGAAAUGAUGUAUCAGGAAUUUCAUAGAUAAGAACUGUAUUUAGCUAAGAAUCCCUUGGUCAUCUAGAUCCUCCUGUUCCCCACUACGUUUAAUGCAAGUCAUUAUCUCUUACUUUUUUAUAUAAAUUCAGCACACAUCCAAUAUGACUACAUGAAUACAACCUGCUGAUAACAUUUCAUGUUGAGUCCCUAUGUUUCAUGUGACAUCUUGGGAUUUAUAAUGUAGCAUGUGGUUCAUCCCUGAAUAAGAUUGUUUCUUAAUUUAAUAGUUGGUUAAAUUGAGUCUUCAAUGAACACUUCCACAGUAUUUGUUAAUUUCUUAUAACUCUCCUAGUUGGGAAUCCUUGUGAGAAUUCCUGCACACACUGGUGUGUCAGUUCUUGUCCAGGGAACAACUGACUGUGGAGUACCCAGCCCAAGUUGAUAACAUCUAACACAACCAAAAGAUGUGGAGAAUGCUGUGGAAGAUGGGCUGGGUAGAGUGUAAGAGCCAGGGACUAGAGCUGGAUAUUGUUUUCUACAUGUGAUAGGAAACCUUUACCUAGACUAAUCUCAACAGUGUGGCUGCAUAAUAAUGGGUUGGGAUAUGAUAAUGUCUCAUGCCUUUUAAUUUAAUCUGUGGUUAUCUGUAACAUUCAGUUCCAAACUACCUUUGUGUACAUCCAGGGUCAUCUCUGCAGUUUGUCUUUUUUUUUUUACAUAUAUUCUAACCCUAGUAAGAACCAAAUCUAAAUAUGACAUUCAAUUCCGGAUGUCUCUAUCAGCAACAAUAGUAUACCCAUUACACAAAAAUUUAAAAGUAUAGUAAAAAUAAUGGAGAAGUGAUCUCUUAUUUUUUUAAUGUUUUAAAAUUUCUUUCCUUACCUGCCAUGGUCAGAGGGAGAGUAUCAGCAAUCCACAGUAUAAUGGAGCAAGAGAAUUGGUUGUCCAUGUGUGAUCAGCUGACCUGAGUCACAAGUGUGUCCAGUAUCAGACAGCACUUACUGGUCACUGGUCGCAGGUGACCUGUGAUGAUCCAAAUUUGUUUACAGGCAUUGCCAUGCCAACCACAAGUACCUACCAGGUGAUGGUAGGGUUGGAGGGAGAAUGAUGUCAUAAACAGGGCAGAAGCCAAUGGGAAGAUGGGAUUCUGAACUAACAGAUGGGAUUGGUUGGAGAGAAUUCCAGGAAUCCCUCAGGAGCCAUGGAGGCUGAGGUACAAAAAUGUACCCUGGAGUACACUUGGCCUCUUCAUCAAGACAUGAACUGAAACAUGGUUAUCAACCUGUACUGAAAGAACCUUGAUUCCACCUUGCUUGUUAGAGAAUUACUUUCAUCCCAGCACUCUUGAGGCAGUCGCUGAGGAGUGUGCAGAUGUGGAUGCAGUAGGGGAGGCAGAGGCUGAGAUGGAGGUUGAGGCAGAGGGAGAGGCAGGCAGAUCUUUGUGAGUUCAAUGAUUGCUUGUUCGAUGUUGUCAGUUCUAGGAGAUGCUGGGCUAUGGAGUGGGUCACAGUUUAAGAAACUAAAAGUGACUUAAUAAAUAAAUGAAUUCUGCUCACUAUAUGUAGCCUUGGAAAAAGAUAAUAGUGAAUUCCCCAGAGGCCAAAGUGUAACAAACUCUGUUACUAUUAGAGCACAGAGUAGCACAAAGAGUUGAAGGUUCAGGAGAUGCCAGUUUUCUUCUCACCCUUCCUUCCACAGUGAGUGACAGACCUUCACAGACUCCAGCAUGUGCACGCUGAGGUGGUUUUGAGGCUUUUUAAAGCCAUCAUGGCUGAGCUCAGGUUAAUUGAACAUCCUCUUGUUGUUGAGGACAGUGGGCUUGUCUUCUGUCUUUACUCUGUGACUUAAUUGCAUCAACUCUUUCAGCUUUCUUGGAGUUUUAUCUCUAAUACACUUGGUCUUGUCUUUUAUGAUUCCCAGGUCUGCUGUGCCUGCAGAGUGUGGCUUUCUGAACUUUGCCCUCUAUAUGCUGGUUGAUGUUGUCAAUAUCAACUUCUCUAGCCAUAGCACUGUUCUAAGGCUCUGUCGCUCCACCAGGUCCUGACACUAGAUUCUGGCCAGAGAAUUUCGAUCAAGCAGAUUAGGGCUUUGCUCUUCCUUCUUUCUCAACUGGUUUAAGGAUGUGCUGAUGACACCUGAUCUUUACUGGGCCUGAUCGCUUCUGAAAACUAUGGAGUCUUUGCAUUGGGUGGCUGUGGGAACCUGGAAUUGGUUUAGUUCAGAGAGGGAGUUGAGCAGUUUGGAAGAUGAACUUCUACCACCAGUGUAGUCAUGUCUGCAAGUCUAUUCUGGAGGCCAACACACUGUGCAUGUCCCAGGCUCAUCCUGACCAAGACUGCUGCUUCCCAAUGUCACAAUGUCAGAAGCAAGCUUCUAUCCUUGACUCUCAGCUGUCUUAGGCUCCCAGCAUCAGUGAAGUACAAGGGAUGCUGCCUGUCAGUGUGUGCUAAAGGGAGAGAGAUGGAUCUUGUUUCUCUUUCAUGCACUCAUAGGCAUCCAGAGGCAUUGACAGAUUUGUUGCCAUCUCAUGCAGGUUUUUAUUCUCUGUUCCAGACAGGGAUCAUGUGGCAAUGCCCGGAAUUCUGAAGGUUGUGAUGGGGGCAGUUAAUGACUUGCCACCAUCAACAGGAGGUGUCCUCAUCUGGUAAUCCAGGGAGUAGGAGUAGCAGAGUUCUUUCUGUUCUGCAGCUGAGGGAAUCUCUGGCUUUGACGUGUAAUUCCCAGGGAAGUCUCCCUUUGCACCACUGAAAAAGAGUCAAGGAAGAAGUCAGUCCCUGUAAAUGGGAUGUCCCUUCCUUUCAGUGCACCUUGUACUUAGGCUCCUACAACAGCUAGAUGACAUUCUUAGGAUCUCUGCCAAGGCAGCAGAUAUUCAGAUAUUCAGAUUUUGGGUAGAUAAGAAAAAUGCACCUUGGCUUACACAUGGCUUCUUGAUCACAUGCUGGGAAACCUGGAUAUCCACAUAGAUAGAAAGAAACUUGAUUCCAUUUAGUUUGUGGGAGCAUUCCUUUAGUCUCAACACUUUUGUGUCAGGAUCCAUACCAUGGCAAUUGCAGAGGCAGUCAUAGAGUCAUAGGCAGAGGCAGAGAUAGUAUCAGGUAGAGGCAGGCUGAAGUUUGUGAGUUCAAGGCUAGCCUGAUCAACAUAGUUAGUUCCUGAACAUGCAGGGUCAUGGAGAGAGAACCUGUCUCAAGGAACUAAAAGCAAAUUAACAAGUCAAUGAGUUAUAUUUCCUGUGUGUCACCCUGUGAAAGAAAUGUCAAAUGCCUCAUAGGCCAUAGUGUGAGUAAUCCUGAUACUAUGAGAGCACAGAGUAUGUGAAAGAGUUGAAUGUUCACAGAGAGGCCAGAAUGGAGCAACACACCAGCCACUCAAGAAAUCCUGGCUGUAGCUGACAGAUGGUCUCUCAAGGAAGUAAAGCAUUUGUUGCCAGAAGAAGGUAAUAGUUAUUAAGAGGGGGUCCUAGAGAACAGGAGGACAGCUUUGUUAUUGCUACCCCAGUAAAAGAUUAAUAUUUAGAUUAUUUAGAGUUAGAUAAAAUAUAUAAAUCAUGAGAAAGAAGGCAACCCAGGUAGUAAAGUGCAAAGAGAAAGACAGCCCUCCUGAUUUCAUAAAAGAGAGCUUGGACAUACAAAGGUUCAGUUUGAGGAGGAAUCAGGGAAAUGCAUAGUGACCCUCCUAGAUGCCAUCCAAGGCCAACUAGAAAAGAAAUGACAGCCACCACUAAGAGAGUUCACAGAAAUGAAUGCUAUACAGUGCUGAGGAUGGAAAGAUUUCCAGUCUGACUGGAUGUCAGUGUGGAGGAUCCUCCAAAAGCCUAAACCUGGACCACCACAUGGUUCAUAUAUGCCUUUGCAAAGAACUGAAUAAAUUAGAGAGGUACUUGCCCAUUAGUGUUGAUUGCAGCACCGUUUCAAGAGUAUUAGGGAACCAAGCAUGGUGUCCAACAGCAUUGCCAUUGGUGAAGAAAAUGGGAUGUUCGUAGAACGUGAAGCCUUUUCAGCCAUAGGGAAAAUGAAGUUAUAUUGUUUGCAGUAUGUGGAUUCAACUGAGGUUCAUGAGAUGGCUCAGUAGAUAAGAACACUUGCUUUUCUUGUAGUAUCCCCAGGCUUACUCCAGAGCACCUUCUGGUGGCUUUCAAUCUCUCUUAACUCCAGACCUCAGAGACCCGAUGGCCUCUUCUGGCCUCUGUGGGCACUCCACACAUGUGUUCCACAGGAAUUCAGGUGGACGACAAACAAACACACAAACACAAAAUAAAGUAUUAGUGGGUGAUUUCAAAGAUGGAUACAACUUGAGACUAACAGUAAUCAAAUGAAAAUCUACUCAGGAAAUUGGUCAAUCUUGUAUAUUUUCUCUUUAAGGUGGGUGCUUGAUAGUGUACAUGUGGAAUCCUGUUUUUCAUUUCAUGAAAUUUCAGGAGGAGCUCUGUCCCAGACUAGUAAUAAUUAAAGGGCUGGGGUGAGAGUUUCAAAAUGGGAGGAAGUGUGGUGAGAACAGGAUUGUGUUAACUAUAACAGUAUACACUAUAGGGAACAUACCAAGUUCAAAGACUUUUAUUUUAUUUAAAAAUAAUGUCAAGAGAAAAAUUUUAUUACCACUACAGGUUUUAGCUAAUUACUUUUACCUUACAUAACUCUACCAGGGGACUUAUAUCAUAUGAUGUAUUUAUGUAACAUAUAUUAAUACUUAGACAACAUAAAUGAAUAACAGGAAAUAUAAGAAGAAAC
Long non-coding RNA from Peromyscus eremicus (cactus mouse), 29078 nucleotides. RefSeq lists it as uncharacterized. NCBI's taxonomy places the organism in Eukaryota, Metazoa, Chordata, Mammalia, Rodentia, Cricetidae. The record is from RefSeq and is a predicted model, not a curated record. The transcript has 9 exons.